AGAGUUUGAUCAUGGCUCAGGAUGAACGCUGGCGGCGUGCCUAACACAUGUAAGUCGAACGUGAGGGUUAGCAAUAACCUGAAAGUGGCGGACGGGUGAGUAACGCGUAGAUAACCUGCCUUGGCGUGGGGGAUAACCACUGGAAACGGUGGCUAACACCGCAUGGUUCUGUCGAGUGGGGACACUGGACGGAUAAAAUUUUAUGCGCCAAGAGGGGUCUGCGUCCGAUUAGCUAGUUGGUGGGGUAAAAGCCUACCAAGGCAUCGAUCAGUAGCUGGUCUGAGAGGAUGACCAGCCACACUGGGACUGAGACACGGCCCAGACUCCUACGGGAGGCAGCAGUGGGGAAUUUUCCGCAAUGGGCGAAAGCCUGACGGAGCAAGACCGCGUGAGGGAGGAAGGCUCUUGGGUCGUAAACCUCUUUUGUCAGGGAAGAACAAAAUGACGGUACCUGACGAAUCAGCAUCGGCUAACUCCGUGCCAGCAGCCGCGGUAAUACGGAGGAUGCAAGCGUUAUCCGGAAUUAUUGGGCGUAAAGCGUCCGCAGGUGGCUGAUCAAGUCUGCGGUCAAAGACCGGGGCUUAACCCUGGAAAGGCCGUGGAAACUGAUCAAGCUAGAGUACCGUAGGGGUAGAGGGAAUUCCCGGUGUAGCGGUGAAAUGCGUAGAGAUCGGGAAGAACAUCGGUGGCGAAAGCGCUCUACUGGACGGUGACUGACACUCAGGGACGAAAGCUAGGGGAGCGAAUGGGAUUAGAUACCCCCGUAGUCC
RNAcentral lists this ribosomal RNA (770 nucleotides) under uncultured cyanobacterium. Its description in RNAcentral is "bacterial SSU rRNA". It matches the Rfam family "Bacterial small subunit ribosomal RNA", at positions 8 to 796 of the family's 1533-position model. The record is from RNAcentral. Lineage: Bacteria; Bacillati; Cyanobacteriota.